AAGACCUUGCGCUUUUGGAGCGGCCGAUGCCUGAUUAGCUUGUUGGUAAGGUAAAAGCUUACCAAGGCUUCGAUCAGUAGCUGGUCUGAGAGGACGACCAGCCACACUGGGACUGAGACACGGCCCAGACUCCUACGGGAGGCAGCAGUGGGGAAUUUUGGACAAUGGGGGCAACCCUGAUCCAGCCAUGCCGCGUGAGUGAAGAAGGCCUUCGGGUUGUAAAGCUCUUUCAGCCGGAACGAAACGGUUACGGUUAAUACCCGUGACUACUGACGGUACCGGAAGAAGAAGCACCGGCUAACUACGUGCCAGCAGCCGCGGUAAUACGUAGGGUGCGAGCGUUAAUCGGAAUUACUGGGCGUAAAGCGUGCGCAGGUGGUUUUGUAAAUCAGAUGUGAAAGCCCCGGGCUCAACCUGGGAACU
Molecule: ribosomal RNA, 423 nt
Filed under: uncultured bacterium
Lineage: Bacteria
Description: bacterial SSU rRNA
Rfam family: Bacterial small subunit ribosomal RNA
Source: RNAcentral